UACAGAGGUGCCAAGCGUUGUUCGGAUUUAUUGGGCGUAAAGGGUGCGUAGGCGGUUGUACAAGUCGGGUGUGAAAUUCCGGAGCCUAACUCCGUAACGGCAUUCGAAACUGUACAGCUAGAGAUCUGGAGAGGUGAUUGGAAUUCUCGGUGUAGCAGUGAAAUGCGUAGAUAUCGAGAGGAACACCAGAGGCGAAAGCGAAUCACUGGACAGAAUCUGACGCUGAGGCACGAAAGCUAGGGGAGCAAACGGG
Molecule: ribosomal RNA, 253 nt
Filed under: uncultured bacterium
Lineage: Bacteria
Description: partial 16S ribosomal RNA
Rfam family: Bacterial small subunit ribosomal RNA
Source: RNAcentral